AAAACUUUCAACAACGGAUCUCUUGGUUCUGGCAUCGAUGAAGAACGCAGCGAAAUGCGAUAAGUAAUGUGAAUUGCAGAAUUCAGUGAAUCAUCGAAUCUUUGAACGCACAUUGCGCCCGCCAGUAUUCUGGCGGGCAUGCCUGUUCGAGCGUCAUUUCAACCCUCAAGCCCCCCAGGGGGCCUGGCGUUGGGGGACGGCCCCUCCCGGCCGCCCCCGAAAUGCAGUGGCGACCCCGCCGCAGCCUCCCCUGCGUAGUAGCUGUUUUUACGAAAAUGAAACCUCGCACCGGAGAGCGGCGCUGCUCGGCCGUGAAACCCCAACUUUCUGAAAGGUUGACCUCGGAUCAGGUAGGAAUACCCGCUGAACUUAAGCAUAUCAAUAAGCGGAGGAAAAGAAACCAACAGGGAUUGCCCCAGUAACGGCGAGUGAAGCGGCAACAGCUCAAAUUUGAAAUCUGGCCCCCCGGGCCCGAGUUGUAAUUUGUAGAGGAUGCUUUUGGCGAGGUGCCGCCCGAGUUCCCUGGAACGGGACGCCGCAGAGGGUGAGAGCCCCGUCUGGCUGGCCACCGAGCCUCUGUAAAGCUCCUUCGACGAGUCGAGUAGUUUGGGAAUGCUGCUCAAAAUGGGAGGUAUAUGUCUUCUAAAGCUAAAUAUUGGCCAGAGACCGAUAGCGCACAAGUAGAGUGAUCGAAAGAUGAAAAGCACUUUGAAAAGAGGGUUAAACAGUACGUGAAAUUGUUGAAAGGGAAGCGCUCAUGACCAGACUUGGGCUUGGCGGAUCAUCCGGCGUUCUCGCCGGUGCACUCCGCCUCGCCCAGGCCAGCAUCAGUUCGCGCCGGGGGACAAAGGCUUCGGGAAUGUGGCUCCUCCGGGAGUGUUAUAGCCCGCUGCGCAAUACCCUGGGGCGGACUGAGGUUCGCGCAUCUGCAAGGAUGCUGGCGUAAUGGUCAUCAGCGACCCGUCUUGAAACACGGACCAAGGAGUCGUCUUCGUAUGCGAGUGUUCGGGUGUCAAACCCCUACGCGUAAUGAAAGUGAACGCAGGUGAGAGCUUCGGCGCAUCAUCGACCGAUCCUGAUGUUCUCGGAUGGAUUUGAGUAAGAGCAUACGGGGCCGGACCCGAAAGAAGGUGAACUAUGCCUGUAUAGGGUGAAGCCAGAGGAAACUCUGGUGGAGGCUCGCAGCGGUUCUGACGUGCAAAUCGAUCGUCAAAUAUGGGCAUGGG
This 1226-nucleotide ribosomal RNA is filed under the name Hypomyces sp. INBio_4505I. RNAcentral's name for it is "eukaryotic LSU rRNA". The stretch from base 337 to 1226 matches the Rfam family "Eukaryotic large subunit ribosomal RNA", at positions 1 to 921 of the family's 3401-position model. Lineage: Eukaryota; Fungi; Ascomycota; Sordariomycetes; Hypocreales; Hypocreaceae. The record is from RNAcentral.